GUCCACACCAAGAGCAAAUUCCAGUACAACCCGAAGUGGAUCAAUGUUCUCGAGGGAUCUCAAGAAGGGUCUUACAUGUGGGUUGCUCUGAACUAUCUGUUGGAUAGAUUGGGAGGAGACUACUCGAAGACCGUAGGCGUGAUAGAUCUUGGUGGCGGCUCGGUUCAAAUGGCGUACGCCGUCUCUCCAAACGCCGCAGCGAACGCUCCGGCGACACCUGAUGGCAAGGACCCUUACAUCACCAAGGAGUAUCUCAAGGGAAAAGACUACAACGUCUAUGUCCACAGCUACCUGUACUACGGCAACUUGGCUGCUCGCGUGGAGAUCCUCAAGGCCAAGUCCGGGCCGUUCAGCUCGUGCAUGCUGCGCGGAUCCACCGGCAACUACACCUACAACGGGGAGGUCUAUGAUGCGACGGCGGCACCGGAAGGGGCAGUGUACACCAAGUGCAGGAAGGAGGUGGCUAAGGCGCUGAAGUUGGACGCACCUUGCGCGAACAAGAAAUGCACCUUCGGCGGCGUGUGGGGCGGCGGCGGCGGCGCCGGGCAGGCCACACUGUACGCUGCCAGCUUCUUCUACGGCAAGGCCACCCAGGUCGGGUGGGUGGAUAAGGACGCCCCGAGCGCCAAGUCAAGUCCGGGGGUGUUCAGGGCGGCGGCCAAGAAGAUCUGCCCGCUGAGCCUCGAGGAAGCCAAGGCGGCAUAUCCCGGGGUGCGCGAGACGCCCUACAUCUGCAUGGACCUGGUGUACCAGUACACGCUGCUCGUCUACGGGGUCGAUCUGUCGCCGGCGAGGGAGAUCACGCUGGUGGACAAGGUGAAGCACGGGGAGUACUUCAUGGAGGCCGCCUGGCCGCUCGGCAAGGCCAUCGAGGAUUCGAGGCCGUCGCGCCCAAGAAGCGCAUCCAACAUGAUCCGCCAGUCAACAUUGGAUGAUCUCUAG
This 942-nucleotide ribosomal RNA is filed under the name Triticum aestivum (bread wheat). RNAcentral's name for it is "partial small subunit ribosomal RNA". Lineage: Eukaryota; Viridiplantae; Streptophyta; Magnoliopsida; Poales; Poaceae. The record is from RNAcentral.